RNAcentral lists this long non-coding RNA (307 nucleotides) under Ananas comosus (pineapple). RNAcentral describes it as "long non-coding RNA (ACOM_LNC040824)". The record is from RNAcentral. Lineage: Eukaryota; Viridiplantae; Streptophyta; Magnoliopsida; Poales; Bromeliaceae.
UUUCAUAAAUUACCCCCACAAAAUUUAUAUAUAUAAAAAAGAUUUACACAACUCCCUCCACCACACAAACGCCACUCUCGUUAAUAAGUAAACACGCUGAAUGAUUCACCGUCUGCCUUUCAUAUUUUAUUUAAAUCGUGUCUUUUCUACAUUUACUGUGUUUAUUAUAUUAAACGUUGUACAAGUUAAGUCACAGUAAAUUAUUUGCCGUGUUUGGACACGGUGAAUGUUUUAUUAUGUUCAACUUAAUUUUUUUAUACUCACGUGGCACUUGCAUGGUGGUGAUAGGGGCAAUUUUGUAAAUAUA